Molecule: long non-coding RNA, 1491 nt
Filed under: Marmota monax (woodchuck)
Lineage: Eukaryota; Metazoa; Chordata; Mammalia; Rodentia; Sciuridae
Source: RNAcentral
UGGGGGGGAGCAGGCAGGCAUCCAAGUCUUACCCAGGUCCUAAGCGUCCCCACCCAUGCCCUCAGGAGUGGGUAAAGUUCCACAAAGAAAGGACGCUGGCUCACUUCCCAUCUGCCAGGUCUCUGAGCACAGGACGAAUGGGAUCAGGGAGGCUGCUCCAGACCUCACUGGGCUUGAUUUUGACCCUCUCUGGGGUAAAAAAAAAAUCCUUACUUUCCUUACUUUGAAGUCCUCUCCUUGUUCUAGAGGCUUCACAGCUGAAGAUGGAGAGUAAGGGAUAUGAAGAGACCCCUGGCUCACUGGGUUCCUCCUUGCAGCACCUAGUUCAGGUUUCCUGGGGAGGCAGAUACUCUGGUGGCAAGGAGAUAGCUCUACUUUGGAAGUUCCACCUCCUUUCUGCAUUUCCUUUCCUAAUGCCUUAAGCUGCCUGCCCACUGAAGCACUGACAUCCAUGUUUGUGUGCUCUUUGAGGGGAGCCACAGGGGGAGGAGGUAGGAAGGGGUCUUGAUGAAAGUAGACGCCCUAGAGUCAGGUGCACUAAAGGUGGGACAUCAGGCAUUUUCUAUGGGAGAAGUUGUUAAAGUGGACAGGGUCAUCCUGGACCAAGACCAACAGUAGCCAUAGCUCAGGUGCCAUCUCCAGCCAGGGGAUCCCCAGGAUUGAAGAGGGUGGGGUCGGACCCACUGGAUGAGAGGAGGUGUGUGUGCCCCUCUCCUGUCCACAGUCACUGGAUCCCUAACCUAGGCUCUGUGCUGCCUUCCUUCCUCGAAUAUUUUCUCAGCAACUCUGGAGAUGGGACGGGAGGUUGGCAAGAGGCGAGGGCCAAGAGUUAUAAAUAAACAAACAAGAAUGCCCAAGUGACAUGGUUGGGUGGCCUUGGGCAAGGGACUUCAUCUCAAUGGGCAUCAGUCCCUUGGGCCUAUAGGAUAGAAUAGAGAACACAGGGAAGUGGUGGUGGGGUGACUCCCUGUGGUCAGUGGUGACUCAACAGGGGAUAAAUUUCCUGUCUUUCUGUUCCAGUGACAGCAGUUGGUGAAGCGGGGCAGCAUGUACUGAAUCAGGCCACAGAGGCUGGACAGAAAGGUUUGGCAGGGCUGGCGGGGAGGAAUGAUGGGCAGCCCCAGCCACUUCUCAACCCUGCUUCAACCCUGGACCAUCCUCUCCUCUGCAGGAUUCUCUGCCUAACAAGGACCACAGGCAGACUUCCUGGGGAGGAAGACCCCUUCUCUUACCCACACACCCUUCUUUCCUUUCGCAGCCAUGGACAAUCUUGGCAAGUCUACCCAGGAAGCCAUAGACAAAGCUGCUAACCAGGCCUCUGACAGCGUCUCUGGUCUAGGGAAGAAAUUUGGCCUUCAGAAAUGACGGAAGACAUGGGCACUUCCCUCCAGGACCUGUUCAGCAGAACUUGGCCCUAAGCUCUGUUCAGCAGCUACCUCUUUGGUUUGCCCUUCAUUAAAGCUCAUGAUUCCACACUGUGUCUACUUAGUG